UACGGGAGGCAGCAGUGGGGAAUAUUGCACAAUGGGCGCAAGCCUGAUGCAGCCAUGCCGCGUGUAUGAAAAAGGCCUUCGGGUUGUAAAGUACUUUCAGUCGUGAGGAAGGUGUUAAGGUUAAUAACCUUAGCAAUUGACGUUAGCGACAGAAGAAGCACCGGCUAACUCCGUGCCAGCAGCCGCGGUAAUACGGAGGGUGCGAGCGUUAAUCGGAAUUACUGGGCUAAAGGGCACGCAGGCGGUUAAUUAAGUUGGAUGUGAAAUCCCCGGGCUUAACCUGGGAAUGGCAUUCAAGACUGGUUAGCUAGAGUCUUGUAGAGGGGGUUAGAAUUCCAUGUGUAGCGGUGAAAUGCGUAGAGAUGUGGAGGAAUACCGGUGGCGAAGGCGGCCCCUGGACAAAGACUGACGCUCAUGUGCGAAAGCGUGGGGAGCAAACGAGGAUUAGAUACCCGU
Molecule: ribosomal RNA, 456 nt
Filed under: uncultured bacterium
Lineage: Bacteria
Description: bacterial SSU rRNA
Rfam family: Bacterial small subunit ribosomal RNA
Source: RNAcentral